GAUGAACGCUGGCGGCGUGCCUAAUACAUGCAAGUCGAACGAAACUUCUUUAUCACCGAGCGCUUGCACUCACCGAUAAAGAGUUGAGUGGCGAACGGGUGAGUAACACGUGGGCAACCUGCCCAAAAGAGGGGGAUAACACUUGGAAACAGGUGCUAAUACCGCAUAACCAUAGUUACCGCAUGGUAACUAUGUAAAAGGUGGCUAUACUACCGCUUUUGGAUGGGCCCGCGGCGCAUUAGCUAGUUGGUAGGGUAAAGGCUUACCAAGGCAAUGAUGCGUAGCCGAAUUGAGAGGUUGAUCGGCCACAUUGGGACUGAGACACGGCCCAAACUCCUACGGGAGGCAGCAGUAGGGAAUCUUCCGCAAUGGGCGAAAGCCUGAUGGAGCAACGCCGCGUGGGUGAAGAAGGUCUUCGGAUCGUAAAACCCUGUUGUUAGAGAAGAAAGUGCGUGAGAGUAACUGUUCACGUUUCGACGGUAUCUAACCAGAAAGCCACGGCUAACUACGUG
RNAcentral lists this ribosomal RNA (512 nucleotides) under uncultured bacterium. Its description in RNAcentral is "partial 16S ribosomal RNA". It matches the Rfam family "Bacterial small subunit ribosomal RNA", at positions 28 to 507 of the family's 1533-position model. The record is from RNAcentral.